Long non-coding RNA from Cavia porcellus (domestic guinea pig), 1405 nucleotides. RefSeq lists it as uncharacterized. Lineage: Eukaryota; Metazoa; Chordata; Mammalia; Rodentia; Caviidae. The record is from RefSeq and is a predicted model, not a curated record. The transcript is spliced from 3 exons.
CUCAGUUUACUUAUUUGCGAAAGGAAGGUGGUGUCCUAGAAGAGCACAUUCAAAAAUCCUACUGGUCCAUGAUCAAUUGAGUGUACCACACUUAACAGGAAGGUGGGUAAACUGAGGCUCAGGCAGUGGGGCUGUCCUAGAAGGGAGUUGGGGCAAAGCUGGAAAAGCAAAUCAAACCGUAAUAGAACGGGACUCCACACCCAAGCACGAGCCCCACAGAGCGCUGGGAGAGGAGGCUCAUGUACUUCCACUCCUUAGGGAUCAGCCCACACCCAGUGUGUAAGUCCACUCCUCGCCCACGUGAGUUGAGACCAUUGCUUGCUCCAGGCCCUUUUGCUUCCAGGUACUGCAGGGUUCUCUGAGGGCAGGGAGGCCCCAAGUGAGUCAUUCCUAAACCAUUUCCUUCAAACCGGAAAUGGAGUUUGAGUUCGGAGAGUGACUGCGAUGGGCCCCUGAGACCUGGGCUGGAGGAUGGACUGACCAUGGCAGCUGCCCUGGAGGGGCUGAAGCAGUUGGCAGGUUUUGACUUCAAAGUGAAAGUUUACUUCUCCUGACCGUGUCCGGUGACAGCUGCUAACGAUGCUACCUCAGAGGACUGUAGCCAUUUACGGGUGCUUCACACACACUGCCUUGACUUGCACAUGGCCACUGUUUGUGAAUAUUAAAGUGAGGCUGAGUGCACACGGCUACGUCCACUCACAGACAGGGACACUGGAAGUCAGGAGGUAACCUGCCCAGCAGGACAUGGAGGUUAGCUAAUGGUCAACUUGGAACACCCAGCUGAACUGAAUCAGCAUGGUGCUGGGUGCGGGAGGCCCACCUGAGGAUUGCUGCCAACAGCAUGAGAGGAGAACUGGAGGGGAAGAUGGCGCUCUGCUGAUUCUCCUGGAGAAGCUGUCACUCUGAUUUUCCUGACAUGAACUCAGCUGUUCUCAUGGUUGGAGGAGCUCUGGUCCUGGCUGUCACUGAGGAUGGCUGCAGUUCUUUUCAGGGGAGCUCUGGUCCUUACCUUGAGCGUAGCUUCCUGGCUCAAGUGCAGAUCCCUCAGCCUGCUGGCACAGCUCCUGCAUCCCACUGGCACAGACUUUCUAGCUUCUACUGCUGACCUCUGAGCCUUCCCAGGGCAGAUCCUUGAUACAACCUUGCAUGAGACAUUACCAUGGGCUCUAGGUCUUCAGCUGGAUUUGUGCAGGACAUUGCCAUGGGAUCCAGGACCUCAGCUAGAUCAUUUGAGUCUCCACUCACUCUUUUAUAUUUGACUUUUUGGAUGAAUAUUAUAAAAUGAUCCUAUAAAUUAUGUGUCCUGUAUUAUAUUUUUCCAUUUAUAACAACAAAGUGUAUUGGUGUAUUGACAACAAUACACCAAAUAUCUUCAGCAUCCUUUUAAUUAAAAUCUGGCUUCUGU